RNAcentral lists this ribosomal RNA (330 nucleotides) under uncultured bacterium. RNAcentral describes it as "bacterial SSU rRNA". It matches the Rfam family "Bacterial small subunit ribosomal RNA", at positions 568 to 898 of the family's 1533-position model. The record is from RNAcentral.
UUCGUAGGCGGUGCGGCAAGUCGGGAGUGAAAUCUCUGGGCUUAACUCAGAGGCUGUUUCCGAAACUGCCGCGCUCGAGUGCGGGAGAGGCCAGUGGAAUUGCAGGUGUAGCGGUGAAAUGCGUAGAUAUCUGCAGGAACACCCGUGGCGAAGGCGGCUGGCUGGACCGCAACUGACGCUGAGGAACGAAAGCUAGGGGAGCAAACAGGAUUAGAUACCCUGGUAGUCCUAGCCCUAAACGAUCAGGACUUGGGGUGCAUCCCGUUGGGGGUGCGUCCCGUAGCUAACGCGUUAAGUCCUGCGCCUGGGGAGUACGGUCGCAAGGCUGAA